Molecule: transfer RNA, 73 nt
Filed under: Rhipicephalus microplus (southern cattle tick)
Lineage: Eukaryota; Metazoa; Arthropoda; Arachnida; Ixodida; Ixodidae
Description: tRNA-Val
Rfam family: tRNA
About the family: Transfer RNA (tRNA) molecules are approximately 80 nucleotides in length. Their secondary structure includes four short double-helical elements and three loops (D, anti-codon, and T loops).
Source: Rfam by way of RNAcentral
GUGCUUGUGGUGUAGUGGUUAUCACAUCCGCUUCACACCCGGAAGGCCCAGGGUUCAAUCCCUGGCAGGCACA